This 723-nucleotide ribosomal RNA is filed under the name uncultured Staphylococcus sp. RNAcentral's name for it is "bacterial SSU rRNA". It matches the Rfam family "Bacterial small subunit ribosomal RNA", at positions 63 to 768 of the family's 1533-position model. Lineage: Bacteria; Bacillati; Bacillota; Bacilli; Caryophanales; Staphylococcaceae. The record is from RNAcentral.
CGAGCGAACAGACGAGGAGCUUGCUCCUCUGACGUUAGCGGCGGACGGGUGAGUAACACGUGGAUAACCUACCUAUAAGACUGGGAUAACUUCGGGAAACCGGAGCUAAUACCGGAUAAUAUAUUGAACCGCAUGGUUCAAUAGUGAAAGACGGUUUUGCUGUCACUUAUAGAUGGAUCCGCGUCGCAUUAGCUAGUUGGUAAGGUAACGGCUUACCAAGGCAACGAUGCGUAGCCGACCUGAGAGGGUGAUCGGCCACACUGGAACUGAGACACGGUCCAGACUCCUACGGGAGGCAGCAGUAGGGAAUCUUCCGCAAUGGGCGAAAGCCUGACGGAGCAACGCCGCGUGAGUGAUGAAGGUCUUCGGAUCGUAAAACUCUGUUAUUAGGGAAGAACAAAUGUGUAAGUAACUAUGCACGUCUUGACGGUACCUAAUCAGAAAGCCACGGCUAACUACGUGCCAGCAGCCGCGGUAAUACGUAGGUGGCAAGCGUUAUCCGGAAUUAUUGGGCGUAAAGCGCGCGUAGGCGGUUUUUUAAGUCUGAUGUGAAAGCCCACGGCUCAACCGUGGAGGGUCAUUGGAAACUGAAAAACUUGAGUGCAGAAGAGGAAAGUGGAAUUCCAUGUGUAGCGGUGAAAUGCGCAGAGAUAUGGAGGAACACCAGUGGCGAAGGCGACUUUCUGGUCUGUAACUGACGCUGAUGUGCGAAAGCGUGGGGAU